Molecule: ribosomal RNA, 421 nt
Filed under: uncultured eukaryote
Lineage: Eukaryota
Description: bacterial SSU rRNA
Rfam family: Eukaryotic small subunit ribosomal RNA
Source: RNAcentral
CAAUAGCGUAUAUUAAAGUUGUUGCGGUUAAAAAGCUCGUAGUUGGAUUUCUGUGGCAAUCGUCCGGUCCGCCCACUGGGUGAGCAUCUGGUUCGCUAGCCACAUCCUCUUGGAUAUCGCGCUGCACUUCACUGUGUGGCGCGUGACGCCAAGUCUUUUACUGUGAGGAAAUUAGAGUGUUCAAGGCAGGCCUUUGUCUGAAUACAUUAGCAUGGAAUAAUAAUAUAGGACCUUGGUACUAUUUUGUUGGUUUCUAGAACUAAGGUAAUGAUUAAUAGGGAUAAUUGGGGGCAUUCGUAUUAACACGUCAGAGGUGGAAUUCUUGGAUUGUGUUACGACGAACUACUGCGAAAGCAUUUGCCAAGGAUGUUUUCAUUGAUCAAGAACGAAAGUAUGGGGAUCGAAGAUGAUCAGAUACCAU